This 282-nucleotide ribosomal RNA is filed under the name uncultured bacterium. RNAcentral's name for it is "partial 16S ribosomal RNA". It matches the Rfam family "Bacterial small subunit ribosomal RNA", at positions 28 to 333 of the family's 1533-position model. The record is from RNAcentral.
GAUAAACGCUGGCGGCGUGCCUAACACAUGCAAGUCGAACGCCCUUACGCAAGUAAGGGAGUGGCGGACGGGUGAGGAACACGUGGGUGAUCUGCCUUGAGGUGAGGAAUACCGGCGAGAAAUCGCCGACAAUACCGCAUACGUUCGCAAGAACAAAGUCGCAAGACGCCUUGAGAUGAGCCUGCGUCCGAUUAGCUAGUUGGUGGGUAAAGACCUACCAAGGCAGCGAUCGGUAGCUGGUCUGAGAGGACGAUCAGCCACACUGGGAUUGAGAACGGCCCA